AUUUAUUCUUUAAGUAAAAUCUUUAAUGACAAAUGAUUGAUAGCCGGCGAUAAAUCCUCUCGCUGGCAAUUGAAAUGCUUGGCCAGUAAAAGUUAUGCCGGGAAUCACCAAUUUUUCAUCUUCCCUCCAAUCUUUUUCCUUGUUCCCUCCUUCAAUUUUAUACAUUAGAGAGAUUUAAUUUUUCAAAUGUAGAUUGCAAUCUCUCUCGACUUAUGCUUGUGCAUUAGUCCAAAAAUUACUCUCUACCUCGCUUUAUCUCCCUCACUUCUCUCUCUACUCCUAUAAACAAACCAAAAUUCAACUAGCAAAAGGCUAGGGCUUGAAAACCACAUAGAAGAAUAAUAUCUAUCUUCUUCUAUCCUUAUAGAUUUUGUUCAAGAUUAUAUGUUGGUUGAUCCUUUUAUCAGUGGAGUUGCUGAGUUCCAUGAUAGGCAUAGAGACAUGAGGCUCGAUGUUGAUAACAUGUCCUAUGAGGAACUAUUGGCAUAGGAAGAACGUAUAGGAAAUGUAAACACAGUCUUGAGUGAAACCAUUUCGGUCCAUAUGAAACAGCGGAAGUACGAGUCUGUAUAUGGACGAUCCUCAUCAAACUUGGAGCCAUGCUGUAUAUGUCAGGGAAAGAAGAGAAUAUAAUUAGUCUUGCUUGUGAAACAUGUGAAGGGUCCAGGGAAUGAAGAGAAAGGAUACAAUUGUCAUUGAACUUGGUGAUAAUAGAUGUGAUGAGCAAAGAUUAGGAUGAACAAGGUUGUACAUUCAAAUUUGAGCAUUUGACAUUGGAGAUGUUCAAAAUAUUUGGCAUGUAAAAGAACUCAUUAUGAUUAAGAGUUGGAGAAAAUUUUAAGUCUAUUGUCUAGUAUAUUAUAGUUAUUUGAUAAGAUGCAAGAUGACACCAGCAAUUGUAUUCAAAUAAUUUACUCUUUUUGUUAUGUAGUUGACUCUAUUGAAAUUAUGAAUUAGUACUUGUUUUGGAUC
Nicotiana attenuata is the source of this 972-nucleotide long non-coding RNA. RefSeq lists it as uncharacterized. The transcript is spliced from 4 exons. The record is from RefSeq and is a predicted model, not a curated record. Lineage: Eukaryota; Viridiplantae; Streptophyta; Magnoliopsida; Solanales; Solanaceae.